RNAcentral lists this ribosomal RNA (253 nucleotides) under uncultured bacterium. RNAcentral's name for it is "partial 16S ribosomal RNA". It matches the Rfam family "Bacterial small subunit ribosomal RNA", at positions 524 to 776 of the family's 1533-position model. The record is from RNAcentral.
UACAGAGGUGGCGAGCGUUGUUCGGAUUUACUGGGCGUAAAGGGUGCGUAGGUGGCUUCGUGUGUCGGGCGUAAAAUCCCACCGCUCAACGGUGGAACGCCGCCCGAAACUGCGAGGCUGGAGUGCAGGAGAGGAGAGCGGAAUUCUUGGUGUAGCGGUGGAAUGCGUUGAUAUCAAGAAGAACACCAGUGGCGUAGGCGGCUCUCUGGAAUGCAACUGACACUGAGGCACGAAAGCGUGGGGAGCAAACAGG